RNAcentral lists this ribosomal RNA (766 nucleotides) under Bacillus sp. W041. RNAcentral's name for it is "SSU rRNA". It matches the Rfam family "Bacterial small subunit ribosomal RNA", at positions 35 to 780 of the family's 1533-position model. The record is from RNAcentral. Lineage: Bacteria; Bacillati; Bacillota; Bacilli; Caryophanales; Bacillaceae.
GCUGGCGGCGUGCCUAAUACAUGCAAGUCGAGCGAAUGGAUUAAGAGCUUGCUCUUAUGAAGUUAGCGGCGGACGGGUGAGUAACACGUGGGUAACCUGCCCAUAAGACUGGGAUAACUCCGGGAAACCGGGGCUAAUACCGGAUAACAUUUUGAACCGCAUGGUUCGAAAUUGAAAGGCGGCUUCGGCUGUCACUUAUGGAUGGACCCGCGUCGCAUUAGCUAGUUGGUGAGGUAACGGCUCACCAAGGCAACGAUGCGUAGCCGACCUGAGAGGGUGAUCGGCCACACUGGGACUGAGACACGGCCCAGACUCCUACGGGAGGCAGCAGUAGGGAAUCUUCCGCAAUGGACGAAAGUCUGACGGAGCAACGCCGCGUGAGUGAUGAAGGCUUUCGGGUCGUAAAACUCUGUUGUUAGGGAAGAACAAGUGCUAGUUGAAUAAGCUGGCACCUUGACGGUACCUAACCAGAAAGCCACGGCUAACUACGUGCCAGCAGCCGCGGUAAUACGUAGGUGGCAAGCGUUAUCCGGAAUUAUUGGGCGUAAAGCGCGCGCAGGUGGUUUCUUAAGUCUGAUGUGAAAGCCCACGGCUCAACCGUGGAAGGGUCAUUGGAAACUGGGAGACUUGAGUGCAGAAAAAGGAAAGUGGAAUUCAUGGUGUAGCGGUGAAAUGCGUAAAAGAUAUGGAGGAACACCAGUGGCGAAGGCGACUUUCUGGUCUGUAACUGACACUGAGGCGCGAAGCGUGGGGAGCAACAGGAUUA